RNAcentral lists this transfer RNA (85 nucleotides) under Erysiphe necator (grape powdery mildew). It matches the Rfam family "tRNA". From Rfam's summary of the family: Transfer RNA (tRNA) molecules are approximately 80 nucleotides in length. Lineage: Eukaryota; Fungi; Ascomycota; Leotiomycetes; Helotiales; Erysiphaceae. The record is from Rfam by way of RNAcentral.
GGGCUUGUGGUUCAGUGGUAUAAUACUCCCUUAGCAAUUGGUCACCAAUUGGGAGUGGUCCGGGGUUCGAUUCCCCGCAAGUCCA